Molecule: ribosomal RNA, 433 nt
Filed under: uncultured bacterium
Lineage: Bacteria
Description: partial 16S ribosomal RNA
Rfam family: Bacterial small subunit ribosomal RNA
Source: RNAcentral
AACGAACGAGGGAGGAAGGAAGAACACAUGCAAGUCGAACGAGACCUUCGGGUCUAGUGGCGCACGGGUGCGUAACGCGUGGGAACCUGCCCUUAGGUUCGGAAUAACUCCCCGAAAGGGGUGCUAAUACCGGAUAAUGUCUUCGGACCAAAGAUUUAUCGCCUUUGGAUGGGCCCGCGUUGGCUUAGCUAGUUGGUCGGGUAAAAGCCUACCAAGGCGACGAUCCAUAGCUGGUCUGAGAGGAUGAUCAGCCACACUGGGACUGAGACACGGCCCAGACUCCUACGGGAGGCAGCAGUGGGGAAUAUUGGACAAUGGGCGAAAGCCUGAUCCAGCAAUGCCGCGUGAGUGAUGAAGGCCUUAGGGUUGUAAAGCUCUUUUACCCGGGAUGAUAAUGACAGUACCGGGAGAAUAAGCUCCGGCUAACUCCGUG